GCGGGUAUAGCUUAGUGGUAAAGUUCCUGCCUUCCAAGCAGGCCAUGAGGGUUCGAUUCCCUCUACCCGCUCCA
Molecule: transfer RNA, 74 nt
Filed under: bacterium
Lineage: Bacteria
Also listed under: 4 other names
Description: tRNA-Gly
Rfam family: tRNA
About the family: Transfer RNA (tRNA) molecules are approximately 80 nucleotides in length.
Source: RNAcentral